This 496-nucleotide ribosomal RNA is filed under the name uncultured bacterium. RNAcentral's name for it is "partial 16S ribosomal RNA". It matches the Rfam family "Bacterial small subunit ribosomal RNA", at positions 28 to 507 of the family's 1533-position model. The record is from RNAcentral.
GAUGAACGCUGGCGGCGUGCCUAAUACAUGCAAGUCGAGCGAACAGACGAGGAGCUUGCUCCUCUGACGUUAGCGGCGGACGGGUGAGUAACACGUGGAUAACCUAUCUAUAACACUGGGAUAACUUCGGGAAACCGGAGCUAAUAUCGGAUACUAUAUUGAACCGCAUGGUUCAAUAGUGAAAGACGGUUUUGCUUUCACUGAUAGAUGGAUCCGCGCCGCAUUAGCUAGUUGGUAAGGUAACGGCUUACCAAGGCAACGAGGCGUAGCGGACCUGAUAGGGGGAGCGGCCACACUGGAUCUGGGACACGGUCCAGCCCCGUACGGGAGGCAGGGGUGGGGAAGCUUCCGCAGUGGGCGAAGGCCUAACGUGGCACCGCGGCGGGGGGGAUGAGGUUCUGCGGUUCGUAAAACUAUGUUAUUAGGGAAGAACAAUGGGUAAGUAACUAGGCACGUCUUGACGGUACCUAAUGAGAAAGCCACGGCUAACUACGUG